UCACUUACCUGGAUGGGGUCAAUGGGUGAUCAAGAAGGUCCAUGGCCUAGGUUAGUGACCUCCAUUGCACAUAGGAGGGGUGCUACCAUAAGGUCGGCCCAAGCGGUCGAGCCUACAUCAUAAUUUGUGGUAGUGGGGGGCUUGCGUUCGCGCAGCCCCUGC
This 162-nucleotide small nuclear RNA is filed under the name Helianthus annuus (common sunflower). RNAcentral describes it as "sRNA HanXRQr2_Chr14g0639091". It matches the Rfam family "U1 spliceosomal RNA". Rfam says of the family: U1 is a small nuclear RNA (snRNA) component of the spliceosome (involved in pre-mRNA splicing). Lineage: Eukaryota; Viridiplantae; Streptophyta; Magnoliopsida; Asterales; Asteraceae. The record is from Rfam by way of RNAcentral.